CGACCGGGUGAGUAACACGUGAUUAACCUACCUUCGAGUGGGGAAUAACUUCGGGAAACCGAAGCUAAUACCGCAUAACAUCCCAAGGACGAGGAGCCCAGGGAUCAAAGGAGCAAUUCGCUUGAAGAGGGGGUCGCGGCUGAUUAGCUAGUUGGCGGGGUAAUGGCCCACCAAGGCGAUGAUCAGUAGCCGGCCUGAGAGGGCGCACGGCCACACUGGAACUGAAACACGGUCCAG
RNAcentral lists this ribosomal RNA (237 nucleotides) under uncultured bacterium. RNAcentral describes it as "partial 16S ribosomal RNA". It matches the Rfam family "Bacterial small subunit ribosomal RNA", at positions 99 to 334 of the family's 1533-position model. The record is from RNAcentral.